Molecule: small nuclear RNA, 136 nt
Organism: Zalophus californianus (California sea lion)
Lineage: Eukaryota; Metazoa; Chordata; Mammalia; Carnivora; Otariidae
Gene: U4
Rfam family: U4 spliceosomal RNA
About the family: U4 small nuclear RNA (U4 snRNA) is a component of the major U2-dependent spliceosome. The structure of U4 snRNA from yeast and human has been reported. U4 snRNA presents a k-turn RNA motif in the 5p-SL related to recognition of Snu13 protein.
Source: Ensembl
AGAUUUGCGCAGUGGCAGUAUCGUAGCCAAUGAGGUUUAUCUGAGGCGCGAUUAUUGCUAAUUGAAAAAUAGGUCCACAAAUUCUUUGAUAUUUCUCCCUUCGAGAGAUGAAGCUAAUGGGCUAGACUUGGGGACU